Molecule: ribosomal RNA, 440 nt
Filed under: uncultured bacterium
Lineage: Bacteria
Description: bacterial SSU rRNA
Rfam family: Bacterial small subunit ribosomal RNA
Source: RNAcentral
CCUACGGGGGGCUGCAGUGGGGAAUAUUGCACAAUGGGGGAAACCCUGAUGCAGCAACGCCGCGUGAGCGAAGAAGGCCUUCGGGUCGUAAAGCUCUGUCCUAAGGGAAGAAGCAUGACGGUACCUUAGGAGGAAGCCCCGGCUAACUACGUGCCAGCAGCCGCGGUAAUACGUAGGGGGCGAGCGUUAUCCGGAAUCACUGGGGGUAAAGGGUGCGUAGGCGGCCAAUUAAGCCAGAGGUGAAAGGCUACGGCUCAACCGUAGUAAGCCUUUGGAACUGAAUGGCUUGAGUGCAGGAGAGGGGAGGGGAUUGCUUAGUGUAGCGGUGAAAUGCGUAGAUAUUAGGGGGAACACCAGUGGUGAGGGCGACUCUCUGAACUGUAACUGACGCUGAGGCACGAAAGCGUGGGGAGCAAACAGGAUUAGAUACCCCUGUAGUC